This 497-nucleotide ribosomal RNA is filed under the name uncultured bacterium. RNAcentral describes it as "partial 16S ribosomal RNA". It matches the Rfam family "Bacterial small subunit ribosomal RNA", at positions 28 to 507 of the family's 1533-position model. The record is from RNAcentral.
GAUGAACGCUGGCGGCGUGCCUAACACAUGCAAGUCGAACGAACAGAUGAGGAGCUUGCUCCUCUGACGUUAGCGGCGGACGGAUGAGUAACACAUGGAUAACAUACCUAUAAGACUGGGAUAACUACGGGGAACCGGAGCUAAUACCGGAUAAUAUAUUGAACGGCAUGGUUCAAUAGUGCAAGGCGGUUUUGCUGUCACUUAUAGAUGGAUCCGCGCCGCAUUGGCUGGUUGGUAAGGUAACGGCUUACCAAGGCAACGAUGCGUAGCCGACCGGAGAGGGUGAUCCGCCACACUGGAACUGAGACACGGUCCAGACUCCUACGGGAGGCAGCAGUAGGGAAUCUUCCGCAAUGGGCGAAAGCCUGACGGAGCAACGCCGCGUGAGUGAUGAAGGUCUUCGGAUCGUAAAACUCUGUUAUUAGGGAAGAACAACUGUGUAAGUAACUAUGCCCGUCUUGACGGUACCUAAUCAGAAAGCCCCGGCUAACUACGUG